UCGCAUUGCUUCUGAGUAUGCUGACUACCCAAAGCCCCUUCUGUGUUAUUAAUAAACACAGUACUGAUUGUCCCAUUUUUCAGCCCAUCAGUCCAAGAUCUCCCUACCACUUUGGUGUGUUGGUGCAGUGUUGACUAUGAAAAGCAGGCCUGAACUAGGUGGAUAAGCCUUCACUCAUUUUCUUUCAUUUAUUAAUGAUCCUAGUUUCAAUUAUUGUCAGAUUCUGGGGACAAGAACCAUUCUUGCCCACCUGUGUUACUGCUUUACUGUGCAAAAUACUGAAGGCAAGUCAGACCCAGGGAGCUGGAUUGCCAUCCUUUAUUUUGUGUUUCCAGUGUACACUAUAAAAUUGUCUCCCCAGGAAGGAAGGUUGGCACUUUCUCUGCAUUCUUCUUUCCAGAGCAGAUUGCCUGGUUAAGAAUCUCUUGUUGUCCCCUUUGUAUAUUGUUAUUGUAAAGUGCCAAAUGCCAGGAUACAGCCAGAAAAAUUGCUUAUUAUUAUUAAAAAAAUUUUUUUAAGAAAGACAUCUGGAUUGUAGGGUGGACUCGAUAACCUGGUCAUUAUUUUUUUGAAGCCAAAAUAUCCAUUUAUACUAUGUACCUGGUGACCAGUGUCUCUCAUUUUAACUGAGGGUGGUGGGUCUGUGGAUAGAACACUGACUCUUGCUAUUUUAAUAUCAAAGAUAUUCUAGAGUGGAACUCUUAAGACCAGUAUCUUUGUGUGGGCUUUACCAGCAUUCACUUUUAGAAAAACUACCUAAAUUUUAUAAUCCUUUAAUUUCUUCAUCUGGAGCACCUGCCCCUACUUAUUUCAAGAAGAUUGCAGUAAAACGAUUAAAUGAGGGAACAUAUGCAGAGGUGCUUUUAAAAAGCAUAUGCCACCUUUUUUAUUAAUUAUUAUAUAAAAUGAAGCAUUUAAUUAUAGUAAUAAUUUGAAGUAGUUUGAAGUACCACACUGAGGUGAGGACUUAAAAAUGAUAAGACGAGUUCCCUAUUUUAUAAGAAAAAUAAGCCAAAAUUAAAUAUUCUUUUGGAUAUAAAUUUCAACAGUGAGAUAGCUGCCUAGUGGAAAUGAAUAAUAUCCCAGCCACUAGUGUACAGGGUGUUUUGUGGCACAGGAUUAUGUAAUAUGGAACUGCUCAAGCAAAUAACUAGUCAUCACAACAGCAGUUCUUUGUAAUAACUGAAAAAGAAUAUUGUUUCUCGGAGAAGGAUGUCAAAAGAUCGGCCCAGCUCAGGGAGCAGUUUGCCCUACUAGCUCCUCGGACAGCUGUAAAGAAGAGUCUCUGGCUCUUUAGAAUACUGAUCCCAUUGAAGAUACCACGCUGCAUGUGUCCUUAGUAGUCAUGUCUCCUUAGGCUCCUCUUGAUCUUCCUCAGAAGAAUAGGCUUGUUGUUUUACAGUGUUAGUGAUCCAUUCCCUUUGACGAUCCCUAGGUGGAGAUGGGGCAUGAGGAUCCUCCAGGGGAAAAGCUCACUACCACUGGGCAACAACCCUAGGUCAGGAGGUUCUGUCAAGAUACUUUCCUGGUCCCAGAUAGGAAGAUAAAGUCUCAAAAACAACCACCACACGUCAAGCUCUUCAUUGUUCCUAUCUGCCAAAUCAUUAUACUUCCUACAAGCAGUGCAGAGAGCUGAGUCUUCAGCAGGUCCAAGAAAUUUGAACACACUGAAGGAAGUCAGCCUUCCCACCUGAAGAUCAACAUGCCUGGCACUCUAGCACUUGAGGAUAGCUGAAUGAAUGUGUAUUUCUUUGUCUCUUUCUUUCUUGUCUUUGCUCUUUGUUCUCUAUCUAAAGUGUGUCUUACCCAUUUCCAUGUUUCUCUUGCUAAUUUCUUUCGUGUGUGCCUUUGCCUCAUUUUCUCUUUUUGUUCACAAGAGUGGUCUGUGUCUUGUCUUAGACAUAUCUCUCAUUUUUCAUUUUGUUGCUAUUUCUCUUUGCUCUCCUAGAUGUGGCUCUUCUUUCACGCUUUAUUUCAUGUCUCCUUUUUGGGUCACAUGCUGUGUGCUUUUUGUCCUUUUCUUGUUCUGUCUACCUCUCCUUUCUCUGCCUACCUCUCUUUUCUCUUUGUGAACUGUGAUUAUUUGUUACCCCUUCCCCUUCUCGUUCGUUUUAAAUUUCACCUUUUUUCUGAGUCUGGCCUCCUUUCUGCUGUUUCUACUUUUUAUCUCACAUUUCUCAUUUCUGCAUUUCCUUUCUGCCUCUCUUGGGCUAUUCUCUCUCUCCUCCCCUGCGUGCCUCAGCAUCUCUUGCUGUUUGUGAUUUUCUAUUUCAGUAUUAAUCUCUGUUGGCUUGUAUUUGUUCUCUGCUUCUUCCCUUUCUACUCACCUUUGAGUAUUUCAGCCUCUUCAUGAAUCUAUCUCCCUCUCUUUGAUUUCAUGUAAUCUCUCCUUAAAUAUUUCUUUGCAUAUGUGGGCAAGUGUACGUGUGUGUGUGUCAUGUGUGGCAGAGGGGCUUCCUAACCCCUGCCUGAUAGGUGCAGAACGUCGGCUAUCAGAGCAAGCAUUGUGGAGCGGUUCCUUAUGCCAGGCUGCCAUGUGAGAUGAUCCAAGACCAAAACAAGGCCCUAGACUGCAGUAAAACCCAGAACUCAAGUAGGGCAGAAGGUGGAAGGCUCAUAUGGAUAGAAGGCCCAAAGUAUAAGACAGAUGGUUUGAGACUUGAGACCCGAGGACUAAGAUGGAAAGCCCAUGUUCCAAGAUAGAUAGAAGCCUCAGGCCUGAAACCAACAAAAGCCUCAAGAGCCAAGAAAACAGAGGGUGGCCUGAAUUGGACCGAAGGCCUGAGUUGGAUGGAAGUCUCAAGGCUUGAGUUAGAAGUCUUAAGACCUGGGACAGGACACAUGGAAGGCCUAAGAACUGAGACUUGUGACACAAGGCCAACGACCUAAGAUUAGCCCAGGGUUGUAGCUGGAAGACCUACAACCCAAGGAUGGAAGGCCCCUGUCACAAAGCCUACCUAGAUGGAUAGAGGACCCAAGCGAAAAAGGUAUCUCAAGACUAACGGCCGGAAUCUGGAGGCCCAUGACCCAGAACCCAGGAAGGAUAGAAGCUUGAAGACCUGGGGAAAUCCCAAGAUGAGAACCCUAAACCCUACCUCUUUUCUAUUGUUUACACUUCUUACUCUUAGAUAUUUCCAGUUCUCCUGUUUAUCUUUAAGCCUGAUUCUUUUGAGAUGUACUUUUUGAUGUUGCCGGUUACCUUUAGAUUGACAGUAUUAUGCCUGGGCCAGUCUUGAGCCAGCUUUAAAUCACAGCUUUUACCUAUUUGUUAGGCUAUAGUGUUUUGUAAACUUCUGUUUCUAUUCACAUCUUCUCCACUUGAGAGAGACACCAAAAUCCAGUCAGUAUCUAAUCUGGCUUUUGUUAACUUCCCUCAGGAGCAGACAUUCAUAUAGGUGAUACUGUAUUUCAGUCCUUUCUUUUGACCCCAGAAGCCCUAGACUGAGAAGAUAAAAUGGUCAGGUUGUUGGGGAAAAAAAAGUGCCAGGCUCUCUAGAGAAAAAUGUGAAGAGAUGCUCCAGGCCAAUGAGAAGAAUUAGACAAGAAAUACACAGAUGUGCCAGACUUCUGAGAAGCACCUGCCAGCAACAGCUUCCUUCUUUGAGCUUAGUCCAUCCCUCAUGAAAAAUGACUGACCACUGCUGGGCAGCAGGAGGGAUGAUGACCAACUAAUUCCCAAACCCCAGUCUCAUUGGUACCAGCCUUGGGGAACCACCUACACUUGAGCCACAAUUGGUUUUGAAGUGCAUUUACAAGGUUUUUUCUGGCAUCACUACCACUACUGAUUAAACAAGAAUAAGAGAACAUUUUAUCAUCAUCUGCUUUAUUCACAUAAAUGAAGUUGUGAUGAAUAAAUCUGCUUUUAUGCAGACACAAGGAAUUAAGUGGCUUCGUCAUUGUCCUUCUACCUCAAAGAUAAUUUAUUCCAAAAGCUAAGAUAAAUGGAAGACUCUUGAACUUGUGAACUGAUGUGAAAUGCAGAAUCUCUUUUGAGUCUUUGCUGUUUGGAAGAUUGAAAAAUAUUGUUCAGCAUGGGUGACCACCAGAAAGUAAUCUUAAGCCAUCUAGAUGUC
Long non-coding RNA from Homo sapiens (human), 4073 nucleotides. Ensembl annotates it as X inactive specific transcript. Its record names the gene XIST. Lineage: Eukaryota; Metazoa; Chordata; Mammalia; Primates; Hominidae. The record is from Ensembl.